Molecule: long non-coding RNA, 1191 nt
Filed under: Pan troglodytes (chimpanzee)
Lineage: Eukaryota; Metazoa; Chordata; Mammalia; Primates; Hominidae
Description: long non-coding RNA NONPTRT003154
Source: RNAcentral
GCCUCCGGUGGAGGGCGGGGACCCUCGGAAGCCAGCUGGGUGACGAUCGCUUGUCUGCCUUGGCAGGCCCCUUGUGCAGUCUUUUCCCGGCGUGAGCGUGCAGGGAUUGAAAAGGAAUGCUUUUUGGUUCAGCAGAGAGCCACCACGCAGGAUGCACUGGGACCUGAGAACCGUCGGGCAGUCCCACGAGCUCUUUCAUGACCAGCUCCAACCGACAAGUACACGCCCCUUCUCGCACUCCACUAGCUAGUAAGCUGAGCUACAAGGUGUGCCAGGCACCCAGGACGCCGAUUCACCGCUUCAGACUGAAUUUUUCCACCACCUGGAUGAACAUAGCAGAAAGAACAUAGUGUUUUAGAGUCAGACACAAUAGGAAUCAGGCACUUUGGAAUCUUGGCUCUGCCACCUUUGAGCUAUCCCAAGAGCCCUCUUUCUUCCAUUCACUUACUUGUCUAGUCAAACACCCAUCAGACCUUUGCCAGGUGUCCAGCCUGGGCACUACGUUUCAGAAAAUGAUGCACAUAGAAUCCCUAACUGAAAGGAGAUCGCAGCUCAUUUGGUACAAAGUGGCUGAUUCUUUGACUGGUGAGCCACUCCCCAGGCAGGCAUAGCAUCACAGAGUUUCUGAGAAGGUACACCCUGGAUGCAAAGCGGUGUUGCUGAAAGACUCCAUGCCAGGGUUCUGGAGUCCAGAAGUCCAAAAUCAAAGGCUGUGCUCUCUUAGAAGGCUCGAGGAGAGAAUCCUUCAAUGCCCCUUCCAGAUUCUGGUGGCUCCAGGUAACGGCAGAGUCCCAAAACACAUGAAGCAAGAACUGACAGAACUGGAGGGAGACAUCAAUCAAUAACAACAGUUGGAGAAUUCAAUACCCUGCUCUGAAUAAUGGAUAGAACAAUUAGGCAGAAGACCAACAAAGAAAGUGGAUAUUUGAACAACGUGAUAAGCCAAUUUGACCUAAUAAAUAUCUUUAUCUGUGAAACACCCUAGCUUUUAGCCUGGGUAAGGAGCUGGAGAGAUGUGAAAAUGUGGAAAGCAAGCCUAAAUCGCAGUGUGGCCUAUGCCUGAGAGCCAUCUUCAGUGCCCCCUUGUGGCUGUAUCUGGGAACCACAGACAGAAUCAUGGAACUGACCAUCUUCAGUCUCAAAGGGCUGCCCUCACCACUACACCCAAGGGCAGGUGGUCUUCGGGGGAAA